AGUCUAUGAAGAACGUUCGAAUGAUGACGAGAAUGAAAGAGAAGAAAACUUCUUUAGAUAUCACUCCAGAACAUGGACAUGACAUUCCGAACACAAGAAGUAGACUUCGUACUUCAUAUCCAGACCAUAACA
Nanorana parkeri is the source of this 132-nucleotide long non-coding RNA. RefSeq lists it as uncharacterized. The transcript is spliced from 2 exons. The record is from RefSeq and is a predicted model, not a curated record. NCBI's taxonomy places the organism in Eukaryota, Metazoa, Chordata, Amphibia, Anura, Dicroglossidae.